CGAAUGCUGACAUAAGUAACGAUAAAGCGGGUGAAAAGCCCGCUCGCCGGAAGACCAAGGGUUCCUGUCCAACGUUAAUCGGGGCAGGGUGAGUCGACCCCUAAGGCGAGGCCGAAAGGCGUAGUCGAUGGGAAACAGGUUAAUAUUCCUGUACUUGGUGUUACUGCGAAGGGGGGACGGAGAAGGCUAUGUUGGCCGGGCGACGGUUGUCCCGGUUUAAGCGUGUAGGCUGGUUUUCCAGGCAAAUCCGGAAAAUCAAGGCUGAGGCGUGAUGACGAGGCACUACGGUGCUGAAGCAACAAAUGCCCUGCUUCCAGGAAAAGCCUCUAAGCAUCAGGUAACAUCAAAUCGUACCCCAAACCGACACAGGUGGUCAGGUAGAGAAUACCAAGGCGCUUGAGAGAACUCGGGUGAAGGAACUAGGCAAAAUGGUGCCGUAACUUCGGGAGAAGGCACGCUGAUAUGUAGGUGAAGUCCCUCGCGGAUGGAGCUGAAAUCAGUCGAAGAUACCAGCUGGCUGCAACUGUUUAUUAAAAACACAGCACUGUGCAAACACGAAAGUGGACGUAUACGGUGUGACGCCUGCCCGGUGCCGGAAGGUUAAUUGAUGGGGUUAGCGGUAACGCGAAGCUCUUGAUCGAAGCCCCGGUAAACGGCGGCCGUAACUAUAACGGUCCUAAGGUAGCGAAAUUCCUUGUCGGGUAAGUUCCGACCUGCACGAAUGGCGUAAUGAUGGCCAGGCUGUCUCCACCCGAGACUCAGUGAAAUUGAACUCGCUGUGAAGAUGCAGUGUACCCGCGGCAAGACGGAAAGACCCCGUGAACCUUUACUAUAGCUUGACACUGAACAUUGAGCCUUGAUGUGUAGGAUAGGUGGGAGGCUUUGAAGUGUGGACGCCAGUCUGCAUGGAGCCGACCUUGAAAUACCACCCUUUAAUGUUUGAUGUUCUAACGUUGGCCCCUGAUCGGGGUUGCGGACAGUGUCUGGUGGGUAGUUUGACUGGGGCGGUCUCCUCCUAAAGAGUAACGGAGGAGCACGAAGGUUGGCUAAUCCUGGUCGGACAUCAGGAGGUUAGUGCAAUGGCAUAAGCCAGCUUGACUGCGAGCGUGACGGCGCGAGCAGGUGCGAAAGCAGGUCAUAGUGAUCCGGUGGUUCUGAAUGGAAGGGCCAUCGCUCAACGGAUAAAAGGUACUCCGGGGAUAACAGGCUGAUACCGCCCAAGAGUUCAUAUCGACGGCGGUGUUUGGCACCUCGAUGUCGGCUCAUCACAUCCUGGGGCUGAAGUAGGUCCCAAGGGUAUGGCUGUUCGCCAUUUAAAGUGGUACGCGAGCUGGGUUUAGAACGUCGUGAGACAGUUCGGUCCCUAUCUGCCGUGGGCGCUGGAGAACUGAGGGGGGCUGCUCCUAGUACGAGAGGACCGGAGUGGACGCAUCACUGGUGUUCGGGUUGUCAUGCCAAUGGCACUGCCCGGUAGCUAAAUGCGGAAGAGAUAAGUGCUGAAAGCAUCUAAGCACGAAACUUGCCCCGAGAUGAGUUCUCCCUGACUCCUUGAGAGUCCUGAAGGAACGUUGAAGACGACGACGUUGAUAGGCCGGGUGUGUAAGCGCAGCGAUGCGUUGAGCUAACCGGUACUAAUGAACCGUGAGG
Molecule: ribosomal RNA, 1647 nt
Filed under: Escherichia coli
Lineage: Bacteria; Pseudomonadati; Pseudomonadota; Gammaproteobacteria; Enterobacterales; Enterobacteriaceae
Description: partial 23S ribosomal RNA
Rfam family: Bacterial large subunit ribosomal RNA
Source: RNAcentral